This 510-nucleotide ribosomal RNA is filed under the name uncultured bacterium. Its description in RNAcentral is "partial 16S ribosomal RNA". The record is from RNAcentral.
GGAGUUAGCCCGGUGCUUCUUCUGUGAGUGAUGUCCUUCCUGCCGGCUAUUAACCCGCAGGCCUUCUUCCUCACUGAAAGUGCUUUACAACCCGAAGGCCUUCUUCACACACGCGGCAUGGCUGGAUCAGGGUUGCCCCCAUUGUCCAAUAUUCCCCACUGCUGCCUCCCGUAGGAGUCUGGGCCGUGUCUCAGUCCCAGUGUGGCUCGAUCAUCCUCUCAGACCAGCUACGGAUCGUCGCCUUGGUGAGCCGUUACCUCACCAACCAGCUAAUCCGACAUAGGCUCAUCCCGAUAGCGCGAGGCCCGAAGGUCCCCCGCUUUCCCCCGUAGGGCGUAUGCGGUAUUAGCCUGGGUUUCCCCAGGUUAUCCCCCACUACCGGGCAGAUUCCUAUGCAUUACUCACCCGUCCGCCGCUCGCCACCAGGGAGCAAGCUCCCCGUGCUGCCGCUCGACUUGCAUGUGUUAGGCCUGCCGCCAGCGUUCAAUCUGAGCCAGAAUCAAACUCUGA